This 253-nucleotide ribosomal RNA is filed under the name uncultured bacterium. RNAcentral's name for it is "partial 16S ribosomal RNA". It matches the Rfam family "Bacterial small subunit ribosomal RNA", at positions 524 to 776 of the family's 1533-position model. The record is from RNAcentral.
GACGAAGGGGGCUAGCGUUGUUCGGAAUUACUGGGCGUAAAGCGUGCGCAGGCGGUUUCUUAAGUCAGAGGUGAAAUCCCAAGGCUCAACCUUGGAACUGCCUUUGAUACUGGGGAUCUUGAGUCCGGGAGAGGUGAGUGGAACUGCGAGUGUAGAGGUGAAAUUCGUAGAUAUUCGGAAGAACACCAGUGGCGAAGGCGACUCGCUGGACAAGUAUUGACGCUGAGGUGCGAAAGCGUGGGGAGCAAACAGG